This 252-nucleotide unclassified non-coding RNA is filed under the name uncultured Clostridiaceae bacterium. RNAcentral describes it as "contains 16S-23S intergenic spacer region". It matches the Rfam family "Bacterial small subunit ribosomal RNA", at positions 524 to 776 of the family's 1533-position model. The record is from RNAcentral. Lineage: Bacteria; Bacillati; Bacillota; Clostridia; Eubacteriales; Clostridiaceae.
UACAGAGGGUGCGAGCGUUAAUCGGAUUUACUGGGCGUAAAGGGUGCGUAGGCGGUCGACAAAGUCUGGGGUGAAAGGCUACGGCUCAACCGUAGUAAGCCUUGGAAACUUGUUGACUUGAGUGCAGGAGAGGUAAGUGGAAUUCCUAGUGUAGCGGUGAAAUGCGUAGAUAUUAGGAGGAACACCAGUGGCGAAGGCGACUUACUGGACUGUAACUGACGCUGAGGCACGAAAGCGUGGGGAGCAAACAGG